Molecule: non-coding RNA, 28 nt
Filed under: Homo sapiens (human)
Lineage: Eukaryota; Metazoa; Chordata; Mammalia; Primates; Hominidae
Source: RNAcentral
UGGCCUGUGGAAGAGGGGAUCUGGCCUA